RNAcentral lists this ribosomal RNA (484 nucleotides) under uncultured bacterium. RNAcentral describes it as "partial 16S ribosomal RNA". It matches the Rfam family "Bacterial small subunit ribosomal RNA", at positions 30 to 507 of the family's 1533-position model. The record is from RNAcentral.
AUUGAACGCUGGCGGCAGGCCUAACACAUGCAAGUCGAGCGGAUGAAGGGAGCUUGCUCCUGGAUUCAGCGGCGGACGGGUGAGUAAUGCCUAGGAAUCUGCCUGGUAGUGGGGGAUAACGUCCGGAAACGGGCGCUAAUACCGCAUACGUCCUGAGGGAGAAAGUGGGGGAUCUUCAGACCUCACGCUAUCAGAUGAGCCUAGGUCGGAUUAGCUAGUUGGUGGGGUAAAGGCCUACCAAGGCGACGAUCCGUAACUGGUCUGAGAGGAUGAUCAGUCACACUGGAACUGAGACAUGGUCCAGACUCCUACGGGAGGCAGCAGUGGGGAAUAUUGGACAAUGGGCGAAAGCCUGAUCCAGCCAUGCCGCGUGUGUGAAGAAGGUCUUCGGAUUGUAAAGCACUUUAAGUUGGGAGGAAGGGCAGUAAGUUAAUACCUUGCUGUUUUGAUGUUACCAACAGAAUAAGCACCGGCUAACUUCGUG